CAUCUUGAUCCUUUAUGAUGAAUCCUCUCUCUUUACUAUAGUAGAAGCUUGAUUUAAUGGAACUUAACUUUCAUGAAUUUGGUUCUUGAUGGAGAAUAAAUUCCUCCCUUACUCUUAUUUCUCUUCUUCUUAUUUUUAUAACAAAGGAAGAAAUAAACUUGCACAUCUCAAGAAGAACCAAAAAGAGGCUUUUGCACAUCUAAAGCAAAAUGUUAGCU
This 218-nucleotide long non-coding RNA is filed under the name Musa acuminata (dwarf banana). Its description in RNAcentral is "long non-coding RNA (MACU_LNC008522)". The record is from RNAcentral. Lineage: Eukaryota; Viridiplantae; Streptophyta; Magnoliopsida; Zingiberales; Musaceae.